GGGUUGUGAGGUUAAGCGACUAAGCGUACACGGUGGAUGCCCUGGCAGUCAGAGGCGAUGAAGGACGUGCUAAUCUGCGAUAAGCGUCGGUAAGGUGAUAUGAACCGUUAUAACCGGCGAUUUCCGAAUGGGGAAACCCAGUGUGAUUCGUCACACUAUCAUUAACUGAAUCCAUAGGUUAAUGAGGCGAACCGGGGGAACUGAAACAUCUAAGUACCCCGAGGAAAAGAAAUCAACCGAGAUUCCCCCAGUAGCGGCGAGCGAACGGGGAGCAGCCCAGAGCCUGAAUCAGUGUGUGUGUUAGUGGAAGCGUCUGGAAAGGCGCGCGAUACAGGGUGACAGCCCCGUACACAAAAAUGCACAUGCUGUGAGCUCGAUGAGUAGGGCGGGACACGUGGUAUCCUGUCUGAAUAUGGGGGGACCAUCCUCCAAGGCUAAAUACUCCUGACUGACCGAUAGUGAACCAGUACCGUGAGGGAAAGGCGAAAAGAACCCCGGCGAGGGGAGUGAAAAAGAACCUGAAACCGUGUACGUACAAGCAGUGGGAGCACGCUUAGGCGUGUGACUGCGUACCUUUUGUAUAAUGGGUCAGCGACUUAUAUUCUGUAGCAAGGUUAACCGAAUAGGGGAGCCGAAGGGAAACCGAGUCUUAACUGGGCGUUAAGUUGCAGGGUAUAGACCCGAAACCCGGUGAUCUAGCCAUGGGCAGGUUGAAGGUUGGGUAACACUAACUGGAGGACCGAACCGACUAAUGUUGAAAAAUUAGCGGAUGACUUGUGGCUGGGGGUGAAAGGCCAAUCAAACCGGGAGAUAGCUGGUUCUCCCCGAAAGCUAUUUAGGUAGCGCCUCGUGAAUUCAUCUCCGGGGGUAGAGCACUGUUUCGGCAAGGGGGUCAUCCCGACUUACCAACCCGAUGCAAACUGCGAAUACCGGAGAAUGUUAUCACGGGAGACACACGGCGGGUGCUAACGUCCGUCGUGAAGAGGGAAACAACCCAGACCGCCAGCUAAGGUCCCAAAGUCAUGGUUAAGUGGGAAACGAUGUGGGAAGGCCCAGACAGCCAGGAUGUUGGCUUAGAAGCAGCCAUCAUUUAAAGAAAGCGUAAUAGCUCACUGGUCGAGUCGGCCUGCGCGGAAGAUGUAACGGGGCUAAACCAUGCACCGAAGCUGCGGCAGCGACGCUGAUGCGUUGUUGGGUAGGGGAGCGUUCUGUAAGCCUGCGAAGGUGUGCUGUGAGGCAUGCUGGAGGUAUCAGAAGUGCGAAUGCUGACAUAAGUAACGAUAAAGCGGGUGAAAAGCCCGCUCGCCGGAAGACCAAGGGUUCCUGUCCAACGUUAAUCGGGGCAGGGUGAGUCGACCCCUAAGGCGAGGCCGAAAGGCGUAGUCGAUGGGAAACAGGUUAAUAUUCCUGUACUUGGUGUUACUGCGAAGGGGGGACGGAGAAGGCUAUGUUGGCCGGGCGACGGUUGUCCCGGUUUAAGCGUGUAGGCUGGUUUUCCAGGCAAAUCCGGAAAAUCAAGGCUGAGGCGUGAUGACGAGGCACUACGGUGCUGAAGCAACAAAUGCCCUGCUUCCAGGAAAAGCCUCUAAGCAUCAGGUAACAUCAAAUCGUACCCCAAACCGACACAGGUGGUCAGGUAGAGAAUACCAAGGCGCUUGAGAGAACUCGGGUGAAGGAACUAGGCAAAAUGGUGCCGUAACUUCGGGAGAAGGCACGCUGAUAUGUAGGUGAAGUCCCUCGCGGAUGGAGCUGAAAUCAGUCGAAGAUACCAGCUGGCUGCAACUGUUUAUUAAAAACACAGCACUGUGCAAACACGAAAGUGGACGUAUACGGUGUGACGCCUGCCCGGUGCCGGAAGGUUAAUUGAUGGGGUUAGCGCAAGCGAAGCUCUUGAUCGAAGCCCCGGUAAACGGCGGCCGUAACUAUAACGGUCCUAAGGUAGCGAAAUUCCUUGUCGGGUAAGUUCCGACCUGCACGAAUGGCGUAAUGAUGGCCAGGCUGUCUCCACCCGAGACUCAGUGAAAUUGAACUCGCUGUGAAGAUGCAGUGUACCCGCGGCAAGACGGAAAGACCCCGUGAACCUUUACUAUAGCUUGACACUGAACAUUGAGCCUUGAUGUGUAGGAUAGGUGGGAGGCUUUGAAGUGUGGACGCCAGUCUGCAUGGAGCCGACCUUGAAAUACCACCCUUUAAUGUUUGAUGUUCUAACGUGGACCCGUAAUCCGGGUUGCGGACAGUGUCUGGUGGGUAGUUUGACUGGGGCGGUCUCCUCCUAAAGAGUAACGGAGGAGCACGAAGGUUGGCUAAUCCUGGUCGGACAUCAGGAGGUUAGUGCAAUGGCAUAAGCCAGCUUGACUGCGAGCGUGACGGCGCGAGCAGGUGCGAAAGCAGGUCAUAGUGAUCCGGUGGUUCUGAAUGGAAGGGCCAUCGCUCAACGGAUAAAAGGUACUCCGGGGAUAACAGGCUGAUACCGCCCAAGAGUUCAUAUCGACGGCGGUGUUUGGCACCUCGAUGUCGGCUCAUCACAUCCUGGGGCUGAAGUAGGUCCCAAGGGUAUGGCUGUUCGCCAUUUAAAGUGGUACGCGAGCUGGGUUUAGAACGUCGUGAGACAGUUCGGUCCCUAUCUGCCGUGGGCGCUGGAGAAUUGAGGGGGGCUGCUCCUAGUACGAGAGGACCGGAGUGGACGCAUCACUGGUGUUCGGGUUGUCAUGCCAAUGGCACUGCCCGGUAGCUAAAUGCGGAAGAGAUAAGUGCUGAAAGCAUCUAAGCACGAAACUUGCCCCGAGAUGAGUUCUCCCUGACUCCUUGAGAGUCCUGAAGGAACGUUGAAGACGACGACGUUGAUAGGCCGGGUGUGUAAGCGCAGCGAUGCGUUGAGCUAACCGGUACUAAUGAACCGUGAGGCUUAACCUUACAACGCCGAAGGUGUUU
This 2931-nucleotide ribosomal RNA is filed under the name Escherichia coli. RNAcentral describes it as "23S ribosomal RNA". It matches the Rfam family "Bacterial large subunit ribosomal RNA". The record is from RNAcentral. Lineage: Bacteria; Pseudomonadati; Pseudomonadota; Gammaproteobacteria; Enterobacterales; Enterobacteriaceae.